GUGCCAGAGCCGCGGUAAUACCGGCAGCCCAAGUGAUGGCCGCUGUUAUUGGGCCUAAAGCGUCCGUAGCUGGCCGCACAAGUCCGUCGGGAAAUCCGCCCGCUCAACGAGUGGCCGUCCGGUGGAAACUCCACACCUUGGGACCGGAAGGCUCGAAGGGUACGGCCGGGGUAGGAGUGAAAUCCUGUAAUCCCGGACGGACUACCGAUGGCGAAAGCACUCUGAGAAGACGGCUUCGACAGUGAGGGACGAAAGCUCGGGUCUCGAACCGGAUUAGAUACCCCGGUAGUCC
Molecule: ribosomal RNA, 292 nt
Filed under: uncultured bacterium
Lineage: Bacteria
Description: partial 16S ribosomal RNA
Rfam family: Archaeal small subunit ribosomal RNA
Source: RNAcentral